CCCAUGUGUCACCUCUUAACUGAGGCAUUGA
RNAcentral lists this non-coding RNA (31 nucleotides) under Rattus norvegicus (Norway rat). Lineage: Eukaryota; Metazoa; Chordata; Mammalia; Rodentia; Muridae. The record is from RNAcentral.